AGCAAAAACCGAACCAAACCAAAAAACCGAGCCAAACCGAACCAAAAAAUCCGAACCGAAAAAAUAUGUGGUUAAAAUGGUUUGAUUUGGUUUAAAAUUUAUAAAUACUACGGUUUUCGGUUUCGGUUUGAAUUUAAGGUUCGGUCACCGAACCGAACCGAAAAACCGAAAUAGUAAUAAGGGUUGUUUUUGUAAUUUACACACUAUCCUAUAUAUACACUCUUAAUAACCAAGAAACCCUAAUUUUUCUUAGCUGUGCCGCCUCAACCCUUCUCACUCACCAAACUUUCACCCAUUUCCCCAUUUCUCUUAGUUUCUUUCCCCAUUUCUCCAUCUAUUUGCUUUACCUAAAUCUAAAUCAAGUCAAAAACCCUAAUAUGUCUCCUCCAUCUCUAACUUAUUCUUACUGAGGUGCUUACCACCAUAAAAAAAGGGCACAAAAGGCUCAUCACUGUCAAAUAUCUCUGCUUCAAACGUGAAACAUCGCUUUAACGGCCACGAGUGUCUCCAUCGGCUGCAAUCAACGGCUACAAUAAAGUUUUGGUUAAUGUUUUGGUUUUUUUCAAGGAGUAGAAAAAUCCAAGCUUAUAUUGAAAUUAGCCUAAGAGAAAUCUCAGAUUAUGUUGUAAUUGGUGAUUUUUGUUGAUUUGUUAUUUUAGAUUUAGAUGAUGACUAAUAUGUAAAAUUGUUAAUAUUAUGAAACCAUAUUCAUCAUUUGUAUAAUUAUAUUAUCUGAAGUUCAAUUGAAAAAAAUUGUGUUUUA
This is a long non-coding RNA of Mercurialis annua (annual mercury), 763 nucleotides long. RefSeq lists it as uncharacterized. NCBI's taxonomy places the organism in Eukaryota, Viridiplantae, Streptophyta, Magnoliopsida, Malpighiales, Euphorbiaceae. The transcript has 2 exons. The record is from RefSeq and is a predicted model, not a curated record.